This 436-nucleotide ribosomal RNA is filed under the name uncultured bacterium. Its description in RNAcentral is "bacterial SSU rRNA". It matches the Rfam family "Bacterial small subunit ribosomal RNA", at positions 43 to 524 of the family's 1533-position model. The record is from RNAcentral.
CAGGCCUAACACAUGCAAGUCGAACGAGACCUUCGGGUCUAGUGGCGCACGGGUGCGUAACGCGUGGGAAUCUGCCCUUGGGUUCGGAAUAACAGUUAGAAAUGACUGCUAAUACCGGAUGAUGACUUCGGUCCAAAGAUUUAUCGCCCAGGGAUGAGCCCGCGUCGGAUUAGCUAGUUGGUGGGGUAAAGGCUUACCAAGGCGACGAUCCGUAGCUGGUCUGAGAGGAUGAUCAGCCACACUGGGACUGAGACACGGCCCAGACUCCUACGGGAGGCAGCAGUGGGGAAUAUUGGACAAUGGGCGAAAGCCUGAUCCAGCAAUGCCGCGUGAGUGAUGAAGGCCUUAGGGUUGUAAAGCUCUUUUACCNCGGGAUGAUAAUGACAGUACCGGGAGAAUAAGCCCCGGCUAACUCCGUGCCAGCAGCCGCGGUAAU